CCCGGCGACCGGCGCACGGGUGAGUAACACGUAUGCAACCUGGCCGCCACAGGGGGAUAACCCGCGGAAACGCGGCCUAAUACCCCGUGACGCCACCGGAGGGCAUCCUCCGGUGGCCAAAGGAGCGAUCCGGUGGCGGAUGGGCAUGCGGCGCAUUAGCUAGACGGCGGGGUGACGGCCCACCGUGGCGACGAUGCGUAGGGGUUCUGAGAGGAAGGUCCCCCACACUGGUACUGAGACACGGACCAGACUCCUACGGAAGGCAGCAG
Molecule: ribosomal RNA, 269 nt
Filed under: uncultured bacterium
Lineage: Bacteria
Description: partial 16S ribosomal RNA
Rfam family: Bacterial small subunit ribosomal RNA
Source: RNAcentral